UGACCUCGGAUCAGGUAGGGAUACCCGCUGAACUUAAGCAUAUCAAUAAGCGGGAGGAAAAGAAACCAACCGGGAUUGCCUCAGUAACGGCGAGUGAAGCGGCAAGAGCUCAAAUUUGAAAGCUGGCUCCUUCGGGGUCCGCAUUGUAAUUUGCAGAGGAUGCUUCGGGUGCGGCCCCUGUCUAAGUGCCCUGGAACGGGCCGUCAGAGAGGGUGAGAAUCCCGUCUGGGAUGGGGUGUCCGCGCCCGUGUGAAGCUCUUCGACGAGUCGAGUUGUUUGGGAAUGCAGCUCUAAAUGGGUGGUAAAUUUCAUCUAAAGCUAAAUACUGGCCGGAGACCGAUAGCGCACAAGUAGAGUGAUCGAAAGAUGAAAAGCACUUUGAAAAGAGAGUUAAAAAGCACGUGAAAUUGUUGAAAGGGAAGCGCUUGCGACCAGACUCGCCUCCAGGGUUCAGCCGGCAUUCGUGCCGGUGUACUUCCCUGGGGGCGGGCCAGCGUCGGUUUGGGCGGCCGGUCAAAGGCUCCCGGAAUGUAGUGCCCUCCGGGGCACCUUAUAGCCGGGAGUGCAAUGCGGCCAGCCUGGACCGAGGAACGCGCUUCGGCACGGACGCUGGCAUAAUGGUCGUAAACGACCCGUCUUGAAACACGGACCAAGGAGUCUAACAUCUACGCGAGUGUUCGGGUGUCAAACCCGUACGCGCAGUGAAAGCGAACGGAGGUGGGAGCCCCCUCGUGGGGCGCACCAUCGACCGAUCCUGAAGUCUUCGGAUGGAUUUGAGUAAGAGCGUAAAUGUGGGGACCCGAAAGAUGGUGAACUAUGCCUGAAUAGGGCGAAGCCAGAGGAAACUCUGGUGGAGGCUCGCAGCGGUUCUGACGUGCAAAUCGAUCGUCAAAUUUGGGUAUAGGGGCGAAAGACUAAUCGAACCAUCUAGUAGCUGGUUCCUGCCGAAGUUUCCCUCAGGAUAGCAGUAACGCGAAUUCAGUUUUAUGAGGUAAAGCGAAUGAUUAGAGGCAUUGGGGUUGAAACAACCUUAACCUAUUCUCAAACUUUAAAUAUGUAAGAAGCCCUUGUUGCUUAGUUGAACGUGGGCAUUAGAAUGGAGC
Molecule: ribosomal RNA, 1103 nt
Filed under: Aspergillus oryzae
Lineage: Eukaryota; Fungi; Ascomycota; Eurotiomycetes; Eurotiales; Aspergillaceae
Description: eukaryotic LSU rRNA
Rfam family: Eukaryotic large subunit ribosomal RNA
Source: RNAcentral